GACGAACGCUGGCGGCGUGCUUAACACAUGCAAGUCGAACGGAAAGGCCCUGCUUGCAGGGUACUCGAGUGGCGAACGGGUGAGUAACACGUGGGUGAUCUGCCCUGCACUUCGGGAUAAGCCUGGGAAACUGGGUCUAAUACCGGAUAGGAGCCAUUUUUAGUGUGAUGGUUGGAAAGUUUUUUCGGUGUAGGAUGAGCUCGCGGCCUAUCAGCUUGUUGGUGGGGUAAUGGCCUACCAAGGCGGCGACGGGUAGCCGGCCUGAGAGGGGGGACGGCCACAUUGGGACUGAGAUACGGCCCAGACUCCUACGGGAGGCAGCAGUGGGGAAUAUUGCACAAUGGGCGCAAGCCUGAUGCAGCGACGCCGCGUGGGGGAUGACGGCCUUCGGGUUGUAAACUCCUUUCGCUAGGGACGAAGCUUUGUGUGACGGUAUCUAGAUAAGAAGCACCGGCUAACUACGUG
Molecule: ribosomal RNA, 465 nt
Filed under: uncultured bacterium
Lineage: Bacteria
Description: partial 16S ribosomal RNA
Rfam family: Bacterial small subunit ribosomal RNA
Source: RNAcentral